UACUGGGUCCCAGGAUUAAGCACCGCACUGCACGGAGCCAUGCACUGAGUGUGGAGCAAAUGGUUUGUGUGGCCUUGCGCUUUUUUGCUAGUGGAGCCUUCCUGUACUCAGUGGGGGAUGCUGAACAAGGCCACAAUUUGCCGCACAAUAAGGAGUGUGUGUCUGGCUAUCAAAGCAUUAGCAGAUGUCUUCAUCUCCUUCCCUGGCCACAGAAGACUCUGUGACAUCAAAGAGGAGUUCUAUAGGAUUGCAGGUAAGAGGAUCUACAAAUUACAGGACAACUGUUAACACAUAGUAGGAUACUCAUUACUUUGUGUGACAGGUUUCCACAAUGUCAUUGGUGCAGUGGACUGCACACACAUAAGGAUAAAAGCCCCCUCAGGUGCCCAUGAGGCCGAUUUUGUGAAUAGGAAAUCCUUUCACAGCAUUAAUGUUCAGAUGGUUUGCAAUGCUGACUGUGUGAUCAGCAAUGUUGUGGCAAAAUGGCCUGGCUCAGUCCAUGACUCCAGAAUCUUUCGGGCCUCUGAAAUCUAUCAGUGCCUAUCACAAGGUGAAUUCUCUGGUGUGUUGCUGGGAGACAGGGGUAUGGCUGCCAGCCUUUUCUCCUGACACCUUUCACAGACCCCCAGGAAGCACAGCAGGCCUACAACCAUGCCCAUGCCAGGACCAGGGCCAGAGUUGAAAUGACCUUUGGCCUCCUGAAGGCACGCUUUCACUGCCUUCACAAAUUAAGGGUCAGCCCUGUUAGGGCAUGUGAUAUUACUGUGGCUUGUGCUGUCCUCCACAAUGUGGCCUGCCUGAGGAAGGAGAGGGCCCCCAGAGUGCCACCAGCCAUGGACUGGGACAAUCCGGCAAUCUUCCCUGAUGACGACAGUGGUCGGCUGCUGAGGGACCAAUAUGUGUUGAAUUAUUUUAGUUAGUAUGUGUGCUUUCAAUUUUGGUUAAAUAUGUCCUGCGGUGGCAGAGGAAUUUGGUUUUUUUGGGUUUGUUUUUUGACGAAUUUGGCCUCUUAUGAUGUUUGUGCGGUAUACUGUGUGUAAUACAAGGCUGCAGGGAGGCUACUGCAUCCAUUCAUUUGUCUGUUCAGUUGAUGUGUAUGGAUUUGUCCUGCAUUUAUUUUAGUGUGCAGACAUGCAGGGUGUGUUAUAUACAGACCUUUGAAUGUGUAUGUAUCAUUUUGUAUAAUAUGCUUGGAUUCUGUGCUUUCCAUCUUGUAGCGUCACUGUGACUUCAGUUUCGAAAGGAGCUGAUGGUUUACCUGCUUUGUUUUGUCCUUAUUCAAUAAAGGAACAUAAUGUUACACAUUGUGUUUUUAUAUUCAUA
Molecule: long non-coding RNA, 1323 nt
Organism: Oncorhynchus nerka (sockeye salmon)
Lineage: Eukaryota; Metazoa; Chordata; Actinopteri; Salmoniformes; Salmonidae
Exons: 3
Source: RefSeq, a predicted model, not a curated record